AGGCGGAGACUCGGGCAAUUGCCAGCCUUCCCAGACGGCAUUGCACUUGUCUCGGUCUGA
This is a microRNA precursor of Gadus morhua (Atlantic cod), 60 nucleotides long. Ensembl annotates it as gmo-mir-25. Its record names the gene gmo-mir-25. NCBI's taxonomy places the organism in Eukaryota, Metazoa, Chordata, Actinopteri, Gadiformes, Gadidae. The record is from Ensembl.